CAAAAACAUGUCUUUUUGAUUAUAAUUUAAAGUCUCACCUCCCCACUGAGGAGUUAAAUGGCCGCGGUAUUUUGACCGUGCAAAGGUAGCAUAAUCAUUAGUUUUUUAAUUGAAAGCUGGUAUGAAUGGUUGGACGAGAAAAUAACUGUCUCGAUUUAAAUUAAAUUAGAAUUUUAUUUAUGAGUAAAAAAGCUCAUAUGAGUUUAAAAGACGAGAAGACCCCAUAGAAUUUAAUAUAUAUAUAUAUAUAUUAUUUUUAGAAUUAAUAAUAAGUUAUAUAUAAUUAUAUUUUGUUGGGGUGAUAGAAAAAUUAAAUUAACUUUUUUUAUAUAAAAACAUUAAUGUAUGAAAAAAUGAUCCGUUGAUUACGAUUAUAAGAUUAAAUUACCUUAGGGAUAACAGCGUAAUUUUUUUUUAGAGUUCUUAUCGAAAAAAGAGUUUGCGACCUCGAUGUUGGAUUAAAAUUAACUUUUGGUGUAGGGGCU
This 485-nucleotide ribosomal RNA is filed under the name Xylotrupes sumatrensis tanahmelayu. RNAcentral describes it as "partial large subunit ribosomal RNA". Lineage: Eukaryota; Metazoa; Arthropoda; Insecta; Coleoptera; Scarabaeidae. The record is from RNAcentral.